RNAcentral lists this small RNA (127 nucleotides) under Marmota monax (woodchuck). Lineage: Eukaryota; Metazoa; Chordata; Mammalia; Rodentia; Sciuridae. The record is from RNAcentral.
GCCAGGCGUGGUGGUACAUGCCUGUAAUCUCAGCAGCUCAGGAGGCUGAGGCAGGAGGAUGGCAAGUUCAAAGCCAGCCUCUGCAACUUAGCAAGGCCCUAAGCAAAUUAGUGAGAUCCUGCCUCAA